CAGUAGCCGCGGGAAUGCGUAGGGUGCAAGCGUUAAUCGGAAUUACUGGGCGUAAAGCGUGCGCAGGCGGUUCGCUAGACAGAUGUGAAAUCCCCGGGCUUAACCUGGGGACUGCAUUUGUAACUGGCGGGCUAGAGUAUGGCAGAGGGGGGUGGAAUUCCACGUGUAGCAGUGAAAUGCGUAGAGAUGUGGAGGAACACCGAUGGCGAAGGCAGCCCCCUGGGCCAAUACUGACGCUCAUGCACGAAAGCGUGGGGAGCAAACAGGAUUAGAUACCCGAGUAGUCCCUGUCUCUUAUACA
RNAcentral lists this ribosomal RNA (301 nucleotides) under uncultured bacterium. RNAcentral's name for it is "partial 16S ribosomal RNA". It matches the Rfam family "Bacterial small subunit ribosomal RNA", at positions 509 to 808 of the family's 1533-position model. The record is from RNAcentral.